GGACAAAGAUGAGAGAAAACCUAAGUGUGUGCCUGUUGAAGAAUGAGCCGGUGACUCAUAGGAAGUGGCUUGGUUAAGGGAACCCAUCGGAGCCGCAGCGAAAGCGAGUCUUCAUAGGGCAAUUGUCACUGCUUAUGGACCCGACUUGGGUGAAACUAAGUGGAGGUCCGAACCGACUGUUGUUGAAGAAUCAGCGAAUGAGUUGUGGUUAGGGGUGAAAUGCCACUCGAACCCAGAGCUAGCUGGUUCUCCCCGAAAUGCGUUGAGGCACAGCAGUUGACUGGACAUCUAGGGGUAAAGCACUAUUUCAGUGCGGACCGUGAGAGCGGUACCAAAUCGAGGCAAACUUUGAAUACUAGAUAUGACCUUAAAAUAAUAGGGGUAGAGGUCGGGCAGUGAGACGGUAGGGGAUAAGUGUAACACCCUAAAUCUGGUCUAAACGUUAUAACCAAAUUUGAGGUGUUACAUUUAGUGGUAUCAGAGCUACGGUUUGGUCGAUUCUCGGGCCGAACGUAGCAUUUGUGAGUACAGCUAUACAUGCCAUGUUAUGACUCGUGAUGUUGUGAUAUCUCCGGG
RNAcentral lists this non-coding RNA (576 nucleotides) under Gossypium hirsutum (cotton). RNAcentral's name for it is "Bacterial large subunit ribosomal RNA". It matches the Rfam family "Bacterial large subunit ribosomal RNA", at positions 573 to 1179 of the family's 2925-position model. The record is from Rfam by way of RNAcentral. Lineage: Eukaryota; Viridiplantae; Streptophyta; Magnoliopsida; Malvales; Malvaceae.